RNAcentral lists this ribosomal RNA (269 nucleotides) under Coprinopsis stercorea. RNAcentral's name for it is "partial large subunit ribosomal RNA". It matches the Rfam family "Eukaryotic large subunit ribosomal RNA", at positions 419 to 675 of the family's 3401-position model. Lineage: Eukaryota; Fungi; Basidiomycota; Agaricomycetes; Agaricales; Psathyrellaceae. The record is from RNAcentral.
ACGCUUGAAGUCAGUCGCGUUGGCCGGAAAUCAACCUUGCUUCUGUGGGGUGUACUUUCUGGUUGACGGGUCAGCAUCAGUUUUGACCGGUGGAAAAAGUCCAAGGGAAUGUGGCAACUCCGGUUGUGUUAUAGCCCUUGGUCGUAUACACCGAUUGGGACUGAGGAAUUCAGCACGCCCGCAAGGGCCGGGUCUUUGACCACGUUCGUGCUUAGGAUGCUGACAUAAUGGCUUUAAUCGACCCGUCUUGAAACACGGACCAAGGAGUC